Molecule: ribosomal RNA, 433 nt
Filed under: uncultured bacterium
Lineage: Bacteria
Description: partial 16S ribosomal RNA
Rfam family: Bacterial small subunit ribosomal RNA
Source: RNAcentral
AACGAACGCUGGCGGCAUGCCUAACACAUGCAAGUCGAACGAGACCUUCGGGUCUAGUGGCGCACGGGUGCGUAACGCGUGGGAACCUGCCCUUAGGUUCGGAAUAACUCCCCGAAAGGGGUGCUAAUACCGGAUAAUGUCUUCGGACCAAAGAUUUAUCGCCUUUGGAUGGGCCCGCGUUGGAUUAGCUAGUUGGUAGGGUAAAAGCCUACCAAGGCGACGAUCCAUAGCUGGUCUGAGAGGAUGAUCAGCCACACUGGGACUGAGACACGGCCCAGACUCCUACGGGAAGCAGCAGUGGGGGAUAUUAGAAAAUGGGGAGAAAGCUGAUCCAACAAAGCCGCGGGAGUGGUGAAAGCCUUAAGGUUGUAAAGCUCUUUUACCCGGGAUGAUAAUGACAGUACCGGGAGAAUAAGCUCCGGCUAACUCCGUG